This 440-nucleotide ribosomal RNA is filed under the name uncultured bacterium. RNAcentral's name for it is "partial 16S ribosomal RNA". It matches the Rfam family "Bacterial small subunit ribosomal RNA", at positions 338 to 795 of the family's 1533-position model. The record is from RNAcentral.
CCUACGGGAGGCAGCAGUAGGGAAUAUUGCUCAAUGGGGGAAACCCUGAAGCAGCAACGCCGCGUGGAGGAUGAAGGUUUUCGGAUUGUAAACUCCUUUUGUUAGAGAAGAUAAUGACGGUAUCUAACGAAUAAGCACCGGCUAACUCCGUGCCAGCAGCCGCGGUAAUACGGAGGGUGCAAGCGUUACUCGGAAUCACUGGGCGUAAAGCGCGCGUAGGCGGGAUAGCAAGUCAGAUGUGAAAUCCUAUGGCUUAACCAUAGAACUGCAGUUGAAACUGUUAUUCUAGAGUAUGGGAGAGGUAGGUGGAAUGCUUGGUGUAGGGGUAAAAUCCGUAGAGAUCAAGAGGAAUACUCAUUGCGAAGGCGACCUGCUAGAACAUAACUGACGCUGAUGCGCGAAAGCGUGGGGAGCAAACAGGAUUAGAUACCCCAGUAGUC